GAGUCCGUGCAUGUAACUCUCCUUGAAAGGAUACGUUAGACAUGUUUUUUUUAAUUGAUAUUUUUGCUUGCUCUGUUCAUUCGGUGCUGGAAUUGCAUGCCUCGGUGCUCCCAGCUUUAAAGCCCGGUCGCGUAAAUCCAAGCAGCGAAUGCAAAGCAUGAAUUCCAGUCUAUUUAUUCCCGCAGGAUUUAGCCGAGGUGGGAAGAAUAUUGAAGAAGCGGCAGCAGCGACGAUGAAUGGGACGAAUGCAGAAUUUCCUUCAGAGUUUGGAAGAGCGUGCAAAAGAGCAGCCCCAUUCAGUUUGGCUCCCCCCAACACACUGCAGCGAUGUGCCUCCGCCUAGCUCUGAAAGGGAUCUGCUUGUGCCUGCAUGGCUCGUCCACCCUGCCCAAAAGUUGGAUAAUUUAUGGGCCUGAGGGAGAUUAUAAAGAUGGAUCUUUGAGGCAAUCAAUUCUCAUGUUGCGUUUUGAAUGGUGGGAUAGAAAUGAAGUGCAGAAUAAUUAAAAAGAUCACAAGUCCCCCUUCGCAUGUAAUAAUGAGUAGCUCCAGAGGCAGUGGGCUCUGCCACAGUGCCGGAGGAAGCGCCUUUGAUUUGACUAAGAGGACACCCGGCCUGGUCCAACACUCUGCUGCACAAAAGGGGGGAUUUCACCCACCGCCACACACUGAGCCAGCCUUGAGGACUGUGUGCUUGUCCACCAGCGAGAUCAUAAGCAGAUACUGUUGUCACAGGAAGUGGCGGGGGGGGGGGAUUGUUGCUUGGAUGUCAGAGUUGGCAUGAAAAGUGAUGGAGGCGGCUGUUUGGAAUAUGUUUCACAAUGCUCAGUGUUAUGGGAUUUUAAAAUAAAAUCCAUGCGCCCUUUG
Pundamilia nyererei is the source of this 864-nucleotide long non-coding RNA. RefSeq lists it as uncharacterized. The transcript has 2 exons. Lineage: Eukaryota; Metazoa; Chordata; Actinopteri; Cichliformes; Cichlidae. The record is from RefSeq and is a predicted model, not a curated record.